UGCGUAGGCGGCCCGUUAAGUCAGGGGUGAAAUCCCGCAGCUCAACUGCGGAACUGCCCUUGAUACUGGGGGGCUCGGAUCGGCGCGAGGCGGGCGGAACGUGGCAUGUAGCGGUGAAAUGCUUAGAUAUGCCACAGAACACCGAUUGCGUAGGCAGCUUGCCAGAGCCGUAUCGACGCUGAGGCACGAAAGCGUGGGGAGCAAACAGGAUUAGAUACCCUGGUAGUCC
This 229-nucleotide ribosomal RNA is filed under the name uncultured bacterium. RNAcentral describes it as "partial 16S ribosomal RNA". It matches the Rfam family "Bacterial small subunit ribosomal RNA", at positions 568 to 796 of the family's 1533-position model. The record is from RNAcentral.